UUGUGUUUUUUGCUGCUAAAAUACUUGCUAUCUUAAUUUUAAUUGUUUUUAUUUUAAGUAACAGACUCUCUGAGAAGCAAUGAACACCUCCAGUGAAUUCAACUGGGGAGUUUUGGGGAAUAAAUAUUAUAAUUUCUAGUUCUUAGAUGAAAAAAACUGAAUCAUAUGGAUGGGACUUUCUAUGCAACAUCUUCAAAUACACUCUUGAUCAUCACAUGGGUACCAAGUCCAACACAGCAUCAUUUAAAAAUUUGAAGGGUACCAAGGUGUACUCCAGUGUGUGUCAAACAGUGGGCCAUAUUACAGUGGUAGAUUAUGAGGCCAAUUUAGUGGGGUUGCAACCAUAAUUUUAAAGAAUUGAAUUAUUAUGGAGUAGGACUGGUAAAAUAAGAGUGAAUUGUCUAUAUAAAGGUAAAUAUUGUUUUGUGAAACCUUGUUUUGGUAAUGUAUGCGUGUGUUGGUUUACAUUACAAAUGUACUUCUCACUGUGAGUUUUGAUUAUUGGUAUAGUGGAGAAACAGGGGCUCCACAGCCAGACACUCUUGGCUUCCAGUAUCAUUGGCCUGUUUUACAGAAAAGAGCAUAGAACUGUGCCUACAAGCUAACAGGCAUUCAAAACAAUGUCCCUUCUUUACUGCCUCUGUCCACAGGCUGCCCCCACCUUCUCCAGUGUGGACUUGAAGUUUUGGAACCACAGAGUAAUGCAACACUGACAUUAGCAAACAAGAUGUCCUUAAACAAACAGCAGAAUGACGCAUCAUCCAUCAAAAAUGUGAGUGUGAGGAUGGUGGGACCAUUCUGGCACGCUUGAGCAGCAGGGCCCUCUGAGCCCUCAGAUGUCGUCUAGCCAGGUGUGUGGGGGCCACUUGCCAUGCGCAGCUUCUCUCAGCAGAGGCUGACCAGAAUGGUGGUGAUAUGAAGAGUUGGGGAAUUCGACUUGAAUACAAAACAUAACACUGCUUCCACUUAAAAAGGCAAUGACAAUAGCUACCUCCUUCCAUUGUCCUGUAGGUACAUAUUUGGAAAAAGACAGGCUCAGCCACACCUGAUGGCUUCAGCUAAUCAAUUCAUGUGCAUCUUAAGUCUGUCAAGACGAGAUCACCUAUUUAGUGUUAAGCCUAAAGGGAUAUAUUUUGUGCCAGUGAAAUCUGAGAGAGAUCAGUUCACUACUCACUUUUUUUUUCUUUCUUGAUGCUCAUAGAACAAAUCUAUUUUAAGAUUAUUUUUCCUCCUUGGUAUAAAUUUUAAAAUUUAUUUUAAACAAAUCACCUAUUUAAUAUCAUAAAUUACAGCAAUAAAAUGACCAAGAGAUGAGAGUGCGUGUGACUUUUCAGGUUAGUUCAUAAUACAGUUGCAAAGUUCUAUAUCUAAGUAGCGUUAUUGCCAUCUUAUAACAGCAGAACUUGGGGAUAGGCAGUGGAGCGAAGUUCAGAAUCUUGGGCUUUGUUUUCUUCAGUCCCUUCUACAGAGGUUGCUUAGCACAGAUACUGAACUCUUAACUGAGAGAAGUUACAAUCAUUUUUAGUCUGUUUCUUCACAGUCUGUUUUUUGUCUGGAUUCUGGUGUACAGCAUAACAGAUAAGCAGAUCCCUAAUGAGUUCAGAGCCAGCCAGUUAGUUCCUGGAUAUUUAAGCAGGUCCUUGUUAAUCCAGUUAGGUGUAGCAGGUUACUCAUUCUUCCCAUUUCUGCCCUUCACCUUGCCCUCCACUAAGAUUUCUAAUUUUAUUUCAGAAAGAUCUACCUUUUAGCAAUGAAGAAACCAUUGUUAUUAUUUUUAAAAAGCAAUAGUGGUGAGAGUAAUUCUAGGCAAAGUGUUGUAGAAAACGUAAACAGCAUGAGAUGGCGGUGCUGUGAUUCCCUACAAGACCAUCUGUUUUCCCAAUGAAAAAUCUAGUGCUUCCUCAAGUUAUGUUUUAAAAGGCUUAAGCAAUCAUUCAGAUAAUCAGACUUCAUUGCUGUGAAAUUUCAUCAAAGUGUACUCAAUCCUUGAACUCAUAUCUGGGUCCAUUUUGCCAAUCAGAUAAAACUUCCUAGGCUUUUUCCUAGAGGCAUGAGUGGUUAACUUGAUCUUAUUGCACUGCAAAAGAUUUUGUGCUACACAUCAUUUUUCAUAAAAGCUAUUUGUUGUGUUAGGAGAACUCCAGAGAGACUGCUUGUUAGAAUAGAUUUUGGGGGUGAGAGUGGGCCGGCACUUGCUCUGCUUUGUCACUUUGGACCAAAUGAAAAUUCUUAGAAAUUGUUACACGUUAACCUCAGAGGAAAUGAAGAGGCAAAAACGUGAUACAGAGGGAAUUAGCGACUUGGUAAGUAAAGAUGUUAUUUCUCAUGAACAGACCAAUAAUUAUUAAAAAACAAACAAAUGAAAUCCAAAGAAAUCCAUAAUUUGGAAGCACUGAAUUCCUUUGUCUUAAGAUUGUCCCUUGCUUCUUCUUUCAGUUGGCAUAGGGGUUGUUUACGCCACCUGACUCCUUUUUUUUUUCCUUUGUAAAGGUCAGCCAACGCAUGCCCACUCCUGUCCACACCAGCACAAACAGCCUUUGCAUUGAAAAAGCACUAGGUGGUGCCCAUUUUCUUUGCCGGUGAAAGGGCUGGAUUCCCCAAGGGAGUCACUCCGGGGAAGUUCAUCAGGCCCCAGCCCACACAACACAGUGCACUUCUCUCCUCUCACAGAUGACCAGGAGCUUGGUGUCACAGUCCGUCCCUUCCCUCAUGCAUCCUGGGGCUUGCGUGUUUUAGGACAGAGUGUUGAUUUGGGGAGACAGUGUUUUUACAUAGGAGGGUAGGAGUGGAGGGGAUGGUGGCAGAAAGCUUCGAGUAUUCCCUUUGAAAAUGAAAGAUAAGAGGAAUAAAGGCUGCAAUCCUGCCAUCUGCCUUUGUAAAAAGUCAUAGUAUAAUAUCUCUGCCAAGGCUCUCCUCCUGCCAGAUCAUCUGGACAAUGCAGUGCACAUGCUAAUUUUAUUUUUUCCCACUUUUGCCUGUAAUCAAACUGUGAAAAUAAUAAGAGAAAAUGAAGGUUAAUCUUAAAUUUCAAUUUGUCUCUUCACAAAAAUAAUUCUUUGUUAAAUAAAGUAUAGCUAAAUUGAAGAUUUUGCAUGCCCAUGUCUCCCCCCAAUACCUACCAUAUGAAGAGGUGGCUUUAUACUAGUGAGUUCUUUCCUUUAAAAAAAAAUCUUAUUAGGCACGCUUAACAGAUUGUUGCUUUGUGUUCAAGGAGAGCAGAUAACUGGCUAAGAAGAUUUUUUUUUUCCGGAAUAAUUUUAUCCAGGCAAUAUGCCCAUCAGAUCUGUUUUAGAAUGUAGAACUGUUUAGAAAGUUUUUGUUCUUGUGAAGAUCUGGUAGCAGCAAUUGAGCAUAAUCAUGCUAUUGUCAUAAAAGGAAAAGGAGAAAAGAAUAAAGCAGUUUUUUCUAAUACACAUAUGUCUUGUCUAUCUAUAACCUAUUCCCUGAAAUUUGGCCUAAUAGAGUUAUUUUGUUCAAAUAUAUUUAUUUUGUUUUAGAGAAAGCAAGAAAAUUGUUUUUUGAAUGCCAAAGAAGUAGAUUCUUGCAGUAAAAUCUGAAUCUU
Non-coding RNA from Macaca mulatta (Rhesus monkey), 3562 nucleotides. NCBI's taxonomy places the organism in Eukaryota, Metazoa, Chordata, Mammalia, Primates, Cercopithecidae. The record is from RefSeq and is a predicted model, not a curated record.